AAGUUCUAUUUAUAUUGGACUAAAAUUAAUAACUCUUAUGAAUCCAGAGGACAAAUAGGAAGUAGACACAGAAAACCAGUGAUGAAUCCCUGAUGCUGUACUUUGAAAACCUUAGGGUAUAAACACUGAAGUCCCAGAGAAAAAUCUGAGAUGGUUGCUCUGGUCCUUACUUUGAGUGUCACUUCCUGGCUCCAAUGCCGAUCCCUCAGUCUGCUGGCACAGAUCCUUCAUCCCACCGGCACAGACUUUCUAGCUUCCAUCACUGAUAUUUGGGCCUCCCCGGUGCAGGACUCCAGGGAAGAAGACUUUCUCCCACAUGCCCAUGUCUUGGUGAAGAGCCAACACACUUAUAUAAACAGCUCCUGUUGCUGAUCUUCAGGUAAUGCAUAAAAUCAAAAGAGAAUAACUUUUAUUCAAUUUAUAUGCAUUGAAUCUUCAAAGAU
Molecule: long non-coding RNA, 443 nt
Filed under: Chinchilla lanigera (long-tailed chinchilla)
Lineage: Eukaryota; Metazoa; Chordata; Mammalia; Rodentia; Chinchillidae
Description: lncRNA (ENSCLAG00000026753.1)
Source: RNAcentral